This 449-nucleotide ribosomal RNA is filed under the name uncultured bacterium. Its description in RNAcentral is "partial 16S ribosomal RNA". It matches the Rfam family "Bacterial small subunit ribosomal RNA", at positions 29 to 523 of the family's 1533-position model. The record is from RNAcentral.
AACGAACGCUGGCGGCAUGCCUAACACAUGCAAGUCGAACGAGAUCUUCGGGUCUAGUGGCGCACGGGUGCGUAACGCGUGGGAAUCUGCCCUCUGGUUCGGAAUAACAGUUGGAAACGACUGCUAAUACCGGAUGAUGACGAAAGUCCAAAGAUUUAUCGCCAGAGGAUGAGCCCGCGUAGGAUUAGCUAGUUGGUGUGGUAAAGGCGCACCAAGGCGACGAUCCUUAGCUGGUCUGAGAGGAUGAUCAGCCACACUGGGACUGAGACACGGCCAGAAGUACUACGGGAGGCAGCAGUGGGGAAUAGUGGACAAUGGGCGAAAGGCUGAUCCAGCAAUGCCGCGUGAGUGAUGAAGGCCUUAGGGUUGUAAAGCUCUUUUACCCGGGAUGAUAAUGACAGUACCGGGAGAAUAAGCUCCGGCUAACUCCGUGCCAGCCGCCGCGGUAA